Molecule: ribosomal RNA, 484 nt
Filed under: uncultured bacterium
Lineage: Bacteria
Description: partial 16S ribosomal RNA
Rfam family: Bacterial small subunit ribosomal RNA
Source: RNAcentral
AUUGGACGCUGGCGGAAUGCUUUACACAUGCAAGUCGAGCGGCAGCACGGGGGCAACCCUGGUGGCGAGCGGCGAACGGGUGAGUAAUACAUCGGAACAUGCCCAGUCGUGGGGGAUAACACUUCGAAAGAAGUGCUAAUACCGCAUACGUCCUGAGGGAGAAAGCGGGGGAUCGCAAGACCUCGCGCGAUUGGAGUGGCCGAUGUCAGAUUAGCUAGUUGGUGGGGUAAAGGCCUACCAAGGCAACGAUCUGUAGCUGGUCUGAGAGGAUGAUCAGCCACACUGGGACUGAGACACGGCCCAGACUCCUACGGGAGGCAGCAGUGGGGAAUUUUGGACAAUGGGGGCAACCCUGAUCCAGCCAUUCCGCGUGAGUGAAGAAGGCCUUCGGGUUGUAAAGCUCUUUCGGCAGGAACGAAACGGCGAGCUCUAACAUAGCUUGCUAAUGACGGUACCUGAAGAAGAAGCACCGGCUAACUACGUG